Molecule: unclassified non-coding RNA, 322 nt
Filed under: Hevea brasiliensis (rubber tree)
Lineage: Eukaryota; Viridiplantae; Streptophyta; Magnoliopsida; Malpighiales; Euphorbiaceae
Source: RNAcentral
CAUGACCCUGGUCUUUGGGGAAAAGAUGUCUACGAAUUUAAACCUGAAAGGUUCGAUAAUGACUUGUAUGGUGGAUGCAACCACAAGAUGGGGUAUUUACCUUUUGGGUUUGGAGGGAGAAUGUGUGUAGGCAGGCACUUAACCAUGAUGGAGUAUAAGGUUGUUCUGUCCUUAAUUCUGACUAGGUUUUCUUUCUCCCUGUCCCCAAAUUAUUCUCAUUCUCCUUCUAUUAUGCUCUCCCUGAGACCAAAUUUUGGGCUGCCUCUCAUUGUUCACCCCCUGUAGGGUAGUAGUUUUUACCCUGAAAAUAAUUUGAUCAUCA